CAGGCCUAACACAUGCAAGUCGAACGAGACCUUCGGGUCUAGUGGCGCACGGGUGCGUAACGCGUGGGAAUCUGCCCUUGGGUUCGGAAUAACAGCGAGAAAUUGCUGCUAAUACCGGAUGAUGACGUAAGUCCAAAGAUUUAUCGCCCAGGGAUGAGCCCGCGUAGGAUUAGCUAGUUGGUGGGGUAAAGGCCUACCAAGGCGACGAUCCUUAGCUGGUCUGAGAGGAUGAUCAGCCACACUGGGACUGAGACACGGCCCAGACUCCUACGGGAGGCAGCAGUGGGGAAUAUUGGACAAUGGGCGCAAGCCUGAUCCAGCCAUGCCGCGUGAGUGAUGAAGGCCUUAGGGUUGUAAAGCUAUUUGAUCCGGGACGAUAAUGACGUGAGCCGGAGGAAGAAGCCCCGGCGAACUGAGUGCCAGCAGCCGCGG
RNAcentral lists this ribosomal RNA (432 nucleotides) under uncultured bacterium. RNAcentral describes it as "bacterial SSU rRNA". It matches the Rfam family "Bacterial small subunit ribosomal RNA", at positions 43 to 520 of the family's 1533-position model. The record is from RNAcentral.